GACGAACGCUGGCGGCGUGCUUAACGCAUGCAAGUCGAACGGAAAGGCCCUGCUUUUGUGGGGUGCUCGAGUGGCGAACGGGUGAGUAACACGUGAGUAACCUGCCCUUGACUUUGGGAUAACUUCAGGAAACUGGGGCGAAUACCGGAUAGGAUCUCCUGCUGCAUGGGGGUGGUUGGAAAGUUUCGGCGGUUGGGGAUGGACUCGCGGCUUAUCAGCUUGUUGGUGGGGUAGUGGCUUACCAAGGGUUUGACGGGUAGCCGGCCUGAGAGGGUGACCGGCCACAUUGGGCCUGAGAUACGGCCCAGACUCCUACGGGAGGCAGCAGUGGGGAAUAUUGCACAAUGGGCGGACGCCUGAUGCAGCAACGCCGCGUGCGGGAUGACGGCCUUCGGGUUGUAAACCGAUUUCGCCUGUGACGAAGCGUGAGUGACGGUACUGGGUAAAGAAGCACCGGCUAACUACGUG
Molecule: ribosomal RNA, 468 nt
Filed under: uncultured bacterium
Lineage: Bacteria
Description: partial 16S ribosomal RNA
Rfam family: Bacterial small subunit ribosomal RNA
Source: RNAcentral